Molecule: long non-coding RNA, 496 nt
Filed under: Coffea arabica (coffee)
Lineage: Eukaryota; Viridiplantae; Streptophyta; Magnoliopsida; Gentianales; Rubiaceae
Description: long non-coding RNA (CARA_LNC003357)
Source: RNAcentral
GCUAAUGUAGUUUGUAAUCUAGCCUAUGAAUAUAUCCAAUUCAUUUUCUAUAUUUGAGAUUUAAAACAUUAGAAAUUACGCAGGAAACUAAUCAAAUUAAAAGGUGUUGAACAUCAAAUUUGCAAGUUCAAUUUUUUUUUGAAUGAGUUUAAUUAGGUUGUCAAGAGACAAACUAUUAUAAACGAAUUACAUUAAGGUAUUUGUAUUCCAGAGGCAUUACAACUAACUUUUCUAUCCAAAACCAAGUAACAAGAAAAAUAUAGGUGAUUUUCUAAACAUAUUGAGAGGUUAUUACAGUUGGUCUAGGUGUUAUUCCUAACUUCAAUAAAUGAAUGGUGGUCUAACAAUAUGAACUUGUUAGCCCUGAAUUUAUGCAAUGUAAAGCUAAGAAAAGAUGAUGUAUUUUUUUUUUUACAAUUAGCUAUACUUUUUUUUUUUUUGAGUCUGAGCAAGCUUAGACUGUUGAAAUAUGCCAUGGUAGUGAAAUUAGUUCCAA